Molecule: ribosomal RNA, 460 nt
Filed under: Escherichia coli
Lineage: Bacteria; Pseudomonadati; Pseudomonadota; Gammaproteobacteria; Enterobacterales; Enterobacteriaceae
Description: partial 23S ribosomal RNA
Rfam family: Bacterial large subunit ribosomal RNA
Source: RNAcentral
GGAAAGGCGCGCGAUACAGGGUGACAGCCCCGUACACAAAAAUGCACAUGCUGUGAGCUCGAUGAGUAGGGCGGGACACGUGGUAUCCUGUCUGAAUAUGGGGGGACCAUCCUCCAAGGCUAAAUACUCCUGACUGACCGAUAGUGAACCAGUACCGUGAGGGAAAGGCGAAAAGAACCCCGGCGAGGGGAGUGAAAAAGAACCUGAAACCGUGUACGUACAAGCAGUGGGAGCACGCUUAGGCGUGUGACUGCGUACCUUUUGUAUAAUGGGUCAGCGACUUAUAUUCUGUAGCAAGGUUAACCGAAUAGGGGAGCCGAAGGGAAACCGAGUCUUAACUGGGCGUUAAGUUGCAGGGUAUAGACCCGAAACCCGGUGAUCUAGCCAUGGGCAGGUUGAAGGUUGGGUAACACUAACUGGAGGACCGAACCGACUAAUGUUGAAAAAUUAGCGGAUGACU